Misgurnus anguillicaudatus (oriental weatherfish) is the source of this 332-nucleotide non-coding RNA. The record is from RefSeq and is a predicted model, not a curated record. NCBI's taxonomy places the organism in Eukaryota, Metazoa, Chordata, Actinopteri, Cypriniformes, Cobitidae.
GGGGCUAUGGCUUGUUUUUCUAUGUUAUUAUGUGUUUUAUAUUGUAGGCAAAUCGGCGUGCAAUUUGAAGAAGUGUGAUAAAAUACUCAGAGGUGGAAUCAUGUGACUUUCCAGAUGCCCAAAUCAGUACCCUUCUAAACAUACAUUAAGAUGAGCCUGAAGAGGAGAUUUGGGAAGAUGCUGUUUCAUAAGUCUUUGCUUUGCCAGAUGACCUGUGAUACUGUCAUCAUAUUUUAAGUACAGCCGGAAUGGAUGGGUGGUGGCGGCCAUAAGAAGACUCUCAGCUAAACCAACAACAAAAUUAAUAUUUGCCAUUUUCCUUGAAUAAAAAA